Molecule: ribosomal RNA, 224 nt
Filed under: uncultured bacterium
Lineage: Bacteria
Description: partial 16S ribosomal RNA
Rfam family: Bacterial small subunit ribosomal RNA
Source: RNAcentral
GAUCAUGGCUCAGGAUGAACGCUAGCUACGGGCUUAACACAUGCAAGUCGAGGGGCAGCAUGGUCUUAGCUUGCUAAGGCCGAUGGCGACCGGCGCACGGGUGGGUAACACGUAUCCAACCUGCCGUCUACUCUUGGACAGCCUUCUGAAAGGAAGAUUAAUACAAGAUGGCAUCAUGAGUCCGCAUGUUCACAUGAUUAAAGGUAUUCCGGUAGACGAUGGGG